Molecule: non-coding RNA, 384 nt
Organism: Cricetulus griseus (Chinese hamster)
Lineage: Eukaryota; Metazoa; Chordata; Mammalia; Rodentia; Cricetidae
Source: RefSeq, a predicted model, not a curated record
GGCCAGGGCUGCCUGGCUCUCUGUUGAGAGAAGGAGGGAACUGGACUUAAGGAUGCCUCUGCUGCCUGUCCUGGUCCACAGAGUUCCAGGGCCACAGUGCUCUGUCCCCGAAGACAGCAGGAGGAAGGGAUCACAGUGGAGAGCUAUCACCCUGACACCACGAGGGAUUGAGGUAACGGGUACUCCAAACGAGCCAAUCUCAGAGUCAGGGCAAAUAAGAGCAGAGUCUUCGAAGACUAGGACUGAAUAAAUCUCCCACCCCGAGAGAAUCAGCACCCUGAGACAAGGCAAUCGGUUCCAAAGCAUCUCCAAAGCACCACCUGGAGCAAAGAUUUCAGCCCAUGAACCUUAGGAUAUAUAUAUUCCAACAUUCACCUACAGCAG